Molecule: ribosomal RNA, 310 nt
Filed under: uncultured bacterium
Lineage: Bacteria
Description: partial 16S ribosomal RNA
Rfam family: Bacterial small subunit ribosomal RNA
Source: RNAcentral
AAGAGACAGCAGUCGCCACGGGAAUACAGAGGGUGCGAGCGUUAAUCGGAUUUACUGGGCGUAAAGCGUGCGUAGGCGGCUUCUUAAGUCGGAUGUGAAAUCCCUGAGCUUAACUUAGGAAUUGCAUUCGAUACUGGGAAGCUAGAGUAUGGGAGAGGAUGGUAGAAUUCCAGGUGUAGCGGUGAAAUGCGUAGAGAUCUGGAGGAAUACCGAUGGCGAAGGCAGCCAUCUGGCCUAAUACUGACGCUGAGGUACGAAAGCAUGGGGAGCAAACAGGAUUAGAUACCCCAGUAGUCCCUGUCUCUUAUAC